UACGAAGGGGGCUAGCGUUGCUCGGAAUUACUGGGCGUAAAGCGCACGUAGGCGGCUUUCUAAGUCGGGGGUGAAAUCCUGGAGCUCAACUCCAGAACUGCCUUCGAUACUGGAGAGCUUGAGUCCGGGAGAGGUGAGUGGAACUGCGAGUGUAGAGGUGAAAUUCGUAGAUAUCCGCAAGAACACCAGUGGCGAAGGCGGCUCACUGGCCCGGUACUGACGCUGAGGUGCGAAAGCGUGGGGAGCAAACAGG
This 253-nucleotide ribosomal RNA is filed under the name uncultured bacterium. RNAcentral's name for it is "partial 16S ribosomal RNA". It matches the Rfam family "Bacterial small subunit ribosomal RNA", at positions 524 to 776 of the family's 1533-position model. The record is from RNAcentral.